UACGUAGGGUGCGAGCGUUGUCCGGAAUUAUUGGGCGUAAAGAGCUUGUAGGCGGUUUGUCGCGUCUGCUGUGAAAAUCCGGGGCUCAACCCCGGACUUGCAGUGGGUACGGGCAGACUAGAGUGUGGUAGGGGAGACUGGAAUUCCUGGUGUAGCGGUGAAAUGCGCAGAUAUCAGGAGGAACACCGGUGGCGAAGGCGGGUCUCUGGGCAGUAACUGACGCUGAAGAGCGAAAGCGUGGGGAGCGAACAGG
RNAcentral lists this ribosomal RNA (253 nucleotides) under uncultured bacterium. RNAcentral describes it as "partial 16S ribosomal RNA". It matches the Rfam family "Bacterial small subunit ribosomal RNA", at positions 524 to 776 of the family's 1533-position model. The record is from RNAcentral.